AAAUAAAGCAGGCAGAGGAACGUGGAAGGACUAGACUGCCUGAGUCUUCUGACCUUCAUCUUUCCCCUGUGUUGGAUGCCUCCUGCCCUCAAACAUCAGACUCCAGGUUCUUCAGCUUUUGGACUCUUGGACCUACCCCCCGAGUGGUUUGCCAGGGGCUCUCAGGCCUUCGGCUACAGACUGAGGGCUGCAUUAUCAGCUUUCCUACUUUUGAGGUUUUGGGACUUUACUGGCUUUCUUGCUCCUCAACUUGCAGAUGGCCUGUUGUGGGACCUCACCUUGUGAUCAUGUACAUGAGGGAAAUACACACCCCUCCCAGGGAUGAUGGAAGGUUAAGGUCCUAACACCUCCUGCACAUCUGAGCAGCUGCACAUUGAACCAGAUAGUCCUGGAAUGUGGGAAAACAGAGGCAGACUCAAGAGUCUGGAACAUUAUUUUAGGAUCACACAAAAAAGAUACAUAAUUUUCAUAGGUCGUUAGCAAAUGAAUGCAAGAACAGAAAGUCAAGUGCUGCAUGUUCUCACUUGUAAGUGGGAGUGAAACGAUGAGAACUCCUGAACACAAAGAGGGAAACAACCGGCACUAAGGGUGAGUCUGUUACAGCAAUGGGAUGCCCAGGUUAAGUUUAUGGAAAGACAUGAUACUGAAAGCAUCUCAAAAAUAAAAUCACGAGUAUCUGCAGGUCACUAUGAGACUGGACUGGAACAUUACCUUCAGGCACAUUGAUAUGACUACAUGCUGGACAUUUUCUUGCGGAAAUCCAAAAGAAAUCCCCAUUUUCUUGCAGAAAUCUAAAAUAAUCUCCCCUAUGUGCAAGUCAGACUGAGCACCACUCCCAAGACCAUGACCUCCCCUGCAGCCCUGCUCCUUCCCACUCACCUCUCCUCUUGAGAAAGCCACCUCCCACCACCCAGUCUGCAGUGCCAGAAAACUGGAAACCAGCCCCUAAGCUGCUUUCACCUUCGGCCCAUUUCUCACUAGCCAGCCUCUCCCACGGCCUCCCCAGUUUCUUCAAAUACACCCCCUCCACUAUUCACCAUACUGCCACCGUGAUUUAUUUACAACUUUUUGUCCGGAUUACCUCAGUAGCCUUCUAAUUGUCCCCUUUGCAUCUAAAGUAGCCCCUCUCAUCCCCCAAAUCUUACGUCACUCUUCUACAUAAUUCUGGCUUUCCAUGACCCAUAAACCACAUUUCUCAAGUGUGCUCUAUGCUGGCUUGAAUAUGUUAAUAAUCUUAAUUCUACUUUUAGUGCAAUUUUCUUAGAGCUGGCAUCACUUUCAUCAUGACGUGAGAACUUACUAGAGAUAGGCAAUGAUGACUCACAGUCAAGCCACAUGUCAUAUGCUGCAGACAUCUGGACUGCUGCUUAUUUGCAAAUCCUUUUCUUCAUAUUUUUCUCAUUUGUAGCACUGGAUCAAUUCCAAUUAAGAGUUUAAUAAUGAAUUAACUAAUGAUUUAAACAGGUGGAUAAGACUAACACUGAACCAAUGAUUUUAAGUAAAUCUAAAUACAUAAAUCCCCCCAAAUUAUUAAUCUAUGUUGUUUACUAAGAAGUGUAUUAAAAUGAUAUUGAAAAAGUUUGCUUUGGGAAAGAGCUAGAAGUUAGAAGGUCUAGGUUCAAAUCCCGCCUCUACUCCAUCCUUGACUAAGAUGUUGGACCCAUCACCUCAACUUUCCUUGGGUCUUUUUGCCCAGACAUGACCCGAUGACACAGAGCUUACCUGGACCUCCACAAUAGUAAAUAGAACAGGGCCAGCAAACCAAAAUUUGUUGAGUCCUUUAGAAUUAAGUAGCUUAGAUAAAUUUUCAUCAAAAUCUUUAUAUAGUAGGGAAUAGAAAAAAGUCAAUUCUGUUUUAUUUGAGGAUGUAUGAAUAUGUUACCAUUUUUCAGACUCUGAUUUACCUUCCAAUUAUUGUUUAUUGGGGUCAUUGUAAAUUAGUUAUCAUUUUUUGAAUACACAUUCACUGCUGACAAAGUGGUGAAGCCAGAAGUUAUGUUUGACCAGGGAAGAUUAUGACCCUCAAAGGAGAAAAAUUCACAGGGGGUAGUUGAUUAUUGGUGGAAUGGAGUGAGAGUGAAUUCCUUAAAAGUUUAAACGAAAGCAGAACUAUAUUCAUAUCAUGGAGGGAACUUAGUUUCUAAUAUGAUGAACUAUUGCCCCAAGUCAUGACAAUACCUUGCUCUCUGGAAGAGAAUGAGUGAGUUUUUCAUCCGCCAAGAUACACACUCUAUAUUUCCAACCAUCACAUCUGCCUUGCAGGCUGACUGAACCCAGAGCAAAUCAAUCACAAAAGUUAAUCCAAAAGACUUCCCUUCAGCUGCUGGAAAUCAGUCAUCACAUCUGUGAAAAGAGUGCUAGUUAUAACAAAUGAGAUCACAAAUUUGACCAUUUUAUUAGACACCCUCUAUUAGUGUUAACAGACAAAGAUGAAGGUUAAGUUGAAAUCAAAUUGAAAUCUUCUUCCCUCUGUACAGAUUGCAAUAUCUGAUAAUACCCUCAACUUUCUUGGUGCAAAUUAAUUGCCUGGUACUCACAGUCCAGUGUUAACAGGCAAUAAUGGUGUGAUUCCAGAGGAGAGUACUAGGUGGCAGGAAAAUAAAUGAGAUUAGCAGUAUUUGACUUGGAGCCAUAGGCAUCAAUUCUGCUCCAGCUGUCGACCAGGUUCUAAAAACAAGACUCGGAGCAGCUUUUGCUCUUGCUAGUGAUGCAGGGCCAGGAGAGCCCCCACACUCUGCAUUUGCAGGUGUCCAUGAGGGGAAGCCACUCCUGCAUUUAUCCUGUGAGUGGAGAAGCUCAGAGGAAUGAGGACAUUCCAACAGGGUAUCAGAAUUCUCUUUUGUUUAUGCUAAUUGACAGCAGGAACAUCACCAUCUUGGACAAACACCACCAUUUUAAGUUCUCUUUUAUUUAAAAACUGCCUAAAUCCAGCCCCAAAACAUCAGCCUAAUGGCUAUUGUCAGCAUAAUCAGAAACAUUCCAACCCUAAGAUAAACACCCCUCUGGCCAGAAAUAUGCCGACCCCGAGACAGCCUCCCCUCCGACCAGAGACAUUCCAAACCCGCAGUAAACUUUCCUUCACAUGGAAACAUUCCAAACCUACAAAAAGCUUCCCUCUUCCUAAACCCUUAAAUAUCCUUAGUCUGCAAGAGAGAAUGCUCCUGACUGAAAUCAGCCAGAAGCCCCUCUCAGGUUUAUUCUCCAAAAUAAACCUGUCUUUGACUGUUGAGCCAC
Molecule: long non-coding RNA, 3234 nt
Filed under: Homo sapiens (human)
Lineage: Eukaryota; Metazoa; Chordata; Mammalia; Primates; Hominidae
Description: HSALNT0158498
Source: RNAcentral